AGGACGAACGCUGGCGGCAUGCCUAACACAUGCAAGUCGAACGGAACUUGUUGAAAGAAGUUUUCGGAUGGAUUUUGAUAAGUUUAGUGGCGGACGGGUGAGUAACGCGUGAGCAACCUGCCUUUCAGAGGGGGACAACAGUUGGAAACGACUGCUAAUACCGCAUAACGUAUCGGAACCGCAUGGCUCUGAUACCAAAGAUUUUAUCGCUGAAAGAUGGGCUCGCGUACGAUUAGAUAGUUGGUGAGGUAACGGCUCACCAAGUCGACGAUCGUUAGCCGGACUGAGAGGUUGAACGGCCACAUUGGGACUGAGACACGGCCCAGACUCCUACGGGAGGCAGCAGUGAGGAAUAUUGGGCAAUGGGCGCAAGCCUGACCCAGCAAUGCCGCGUGAAGGAUGAAGGUUUUCGGAUUGUAAACUUCUUUUAAGAGGGACGAUAAUGACGGUACCUCUUGAAUAAGCCACGGCUAACUACGUG
Molecule: ribosomal RNA, 481 nt
Filed under: uncultured bacterium
Lineage: Bacteria
Description: bacterial SSU rRNA
Rfam family: Bacterial small subunit ribosomal RNA
Source: RNAcentral